This is a non-coding RNA of Cyphomyrmex costatus, 101 nucleotides long. Lineage: Eukaryota; Metazoa; Arthropoda; Insecta; Hymenoptera; Formicidae. The record is from Rfam.
CCUUCGAUAGCUCAGUUGGUAGAGCGGUGGACUGUAGUUGUUUAAUUGUUUAUACAAAAGAAGACAUCCAUAGGUCGCUGGUUCAAAUCCGGCUCGAAGGA